AGCAGCCGCGGUAAUUCCAGCCCCAAUAGCGUAUAUUAAAGUUGUUGCAGUUAAAAAGCUCGUAGUUGAAUUUCGGGGUCAGUAGAUUGGUCAUGCCACUGGUAUGUACUGGUCUCACUGAUUCCUCCUUCCUGAUGAGCCGUAAUGCCAUUAAUUUGGUGUUGCGAGGAAUCUGGACUGUUACUUUGAAAAAAUUAGAGUGUUUAAAGCAGGCUAACGCUUGAAUACAUUAGCAUGGAAUAAUGAAAUAGGACGUUCGAUCUUAUUUUGUUGGUUUCUAAGAUUGACGUAAUGAUUAAUAGGGAUAGUUGGGGGCAUUAGUAUUCAAUUGUCAGAGGUGAAAUUCUUGGAUUUAUUGAAGACUAACUACUGCGAAAGCAUUUGCCAAGGAUGUUUUCAUUAAUCAAGAACGAAAGUUAGGGGAUCGAAGACGAUCAGAUACCGUCGUAGUCUUAACCAUAAACUAUGCCGACUAGGGAUCGGAUGAUGUAUUUUAAUGA
Molecule: ribosomal RNA, 500 nt
Filed under: uncultured Glomus
Lineage: Eukaryota; Fungi; Glomeromycota; Glomeromycetes; Glomerales; Glomeraceae
Description: SSU rRNA
Rfam family: Eukaryotic small subunit ribosomal RNA
Source: RNAcentral